RNAcentral lists this ribosomal RNA (483 nucleotides) under uncultured bacterium. Its description in RNAcentral is "partial 16S ribosomal RNA". It matches the Rfam family "Bacterial small subunit ribosomal RNA", at positions 28 to 507 of the family's 1533-position model. The record is from RNAcentral.
GAUGAACGCUGGCGGCGUGCCUAACACAUGCAAGUCGAACGGAGUCGUUUUGGAAAUCUCUUCGGAGAUGGAAUUCUCGACUUAGUGGCGGACGGGUGAGUAACGCGUGAGCAAUCUGCCUUUAAGAGGGGGAUAACAGUCGGAAACGGCUGCUAAUACCGCAUAAAGCAUUAAAUUCGCAUGUUUUUGAUGCCAAAGGAGCAAUCCGCUUUUAGAUGAGCUCGCGUCUGAUUAGCUAGUUGGCGGGGUAACGGCCCACCAAGGCGACGAUCAGUAGCCGGACUGAGGGGUUGAACGGCCACAUUGGGACUGAGACACGGCCCAGACUCCUACGGGAGGGAGCAGUGGGGAAUAUUGCGCAAUGGGGGAAACCCUGACGCAGCAACGCCGCGUGAUUGAAGAAGGCCUUCGGGUUGUAAAGAUCUUUAAUCAGGGACGAAGAAAAUGACGGUACCUGAAGAAUAAGCUCCGGCUAACUACGUG